Molecule: ribosomal RNA, 692 nt
Filed under: uncultured bacterium
Lineage: Bacteria
Description: bacterial SSU rRNA
Rfam family: Bacterial small subunit ribosomal RNA
Source: RNAcentral
UGCAGUCGAACGGCAGCACGGGAGCAAUCCUGGUGGCGAGUGGCGAACGGGUGAGUAAUACAUCGGAACGUGCCCAAUCGUGGGGGAUAACGCAGCGAAAGCUGUGCUAAUACCGCAUACGAUCUACGGAUGAAAGCAGGGGAUCGCAAGACCUUGCGCGAAUGGAGCGGCCGAUGGCAGAUUAGGUAGUUGGUGAGGUAAAGGCUCACCAAGCCUUCGAUCUGUAGCUGGUCUGAGAGGACGACCAGCCACACUGGGACUGAGACACGGCCCAGACUCCUACGGGAGGCAGCAGUGGGGAAUUUUGGACAAUGGGCGAAAGCCUGAUCCAGCCAUGCCGCGUGCAGGAUGAAGGCCUUCGGGUUGUAAACUGCUUUUGUACGGAACGAAACGGCCUUUUCUAAUAAAGAGGGCUAAUGACGGUACCGUAAGAAUAAGCACCGGCUAACUACGUGCCAGCAGCCGCGGUAAUACGUAGGGUGCGAGCGUUAAUCGGAAUUACUGGGCGUAAAGCGUGCGCAGGCGGUUAUGUAAGACAGUUGUGAAAUCCCCGGGCUCAACCUGGGAACUGCAUCUGUGACUGCAUAGCUAGAGUACGGUAGAGGGGGAUGGAAUUCCGCGUGUAGCAGUGAAAUGCGUAGAUAUGCGGAGGAACACCGAUGGCGAAGGCAAUCCCCCUGGACCUGUACUGA